RNAcentral lists this ribosomal RNA (578 nucleotides) under uncultured bacterium. Its description in RNAcentral is "bacterial SSU rRNA". It matches the Rfam family "Bacterial small subunit ribosomal RNA", at positions 338 to 917 of the family's 1533-position model. The record is from RNAcentral.
CCUACGGGAGGCAGCAGUGAGGAAUAUUGGACAAUGGGCGCAAGCCUGAUCCAGCCAUGCCGCGUGCAGGAUGAAGCAUCUAUGGUGUGUAAACUGCUUUUAUACAGGAAGAAACCUCCCGACGUGUCGGGAAUUGACGGUACUGUAAGAAUAAGGAUCGGCUAACUCCGUGCCAGCAGCCGCGGUAAUACGGAGGAUCCAAGCGUUAUCCGGAAUCAUUGGGUUUAAAGGGUCCGUAGGCGGGCCAGUAAGUCAGUGGUGAAAUCUCUCCGCUCAACGGGGAAAUGGCCAUUGAUACUGCUGGUCUUGAAUUAUUAGGAAGUAACUAGAAUAUGUAGUGUAGCGGUGAAAUGCUUAGAGAUUACAUGGAAUACCAAUUGCGAAGGCAGGUUACUACUAAUGGAUUGACGCUGAUGGACGAAAGCGUGGGUAGCGAACAGGAUUAGAUACCCUGGUAGUCCACGCCGUAAACGAUGGAUACUAGCUGUUGGGGGCAACUUCAGUGGCUAAGCGAAAGUGAUAAGUAUCCCACCUGGGGAGUACGUUCGCAAGAAUGAAACUCAAAUGAAAUUGACCGG